AGUGAACGCUGGCGGUAGGCCUAACACAUGCAAGUCGAACGGCAGCACAGUAAGAGCUUGCUCUUACGGGUGGCGAGUGGCGGACGGGUGAGGAAUACAUCGGAAUCUACUUUUUCGUGGGGGAUAACGUAGGGAAACUUACGCUAAUACCGCAUACGACCUACGGGUGAAAGCAGGGGAUCUCCGGACCUUGCGCGAUUGAAUGAGCCGAUGUCGGAUUAGCUAGUUGGCGGGGUAAAGGCCCACCAAGGCGACGAUCCGUAGCUGGUCUGAGAGGAUGAUCAGCCACACUGGAACUGAGGCACGGUCCAGACUCCUACGGGAGGCAGCAGUGGGGAAUAUUGGACAAUGGGCGCAAGCCUGAUCCAGCCAUACCGCGUGGGUGAAGAAGGCCUUCGGGUUGUAAAGCCCUUUUGUUGGGAAAGAAAAGCAGCAGGUUAAUACCCCGCUGUUCUGACGGUACCCAAAGAAUAAGCACCGGCUAACUUCGUG
This 492-nucleotide ribosomal RNA is filed under the name uncultured bacterium. RNAcentral's name for it is "partial 16S ribosomal RNA". It matches the Rfam family "Bacterial small subunit ribosomal RNA", at positions 29 to 507 of the family's 1533-position model. The record is from RNAcentral.